Molecule: ribosomal RNA, 1343 nt
Filed under: uncultured bacterium
Lineage: Bacteria
Description: 16S ribosomal RNA
Rfam family: Bacterial small subunit ribosomal RNA
Source: RNAcentral
GACGAACGCUGGCGGCGUGCUUAACACAUGCAAGUCGAACGGAAAGGCCCUGCUUUUGUGGGGUGCUCGAGUGGCGAACGGGUGAGUAACACGUGAGUAACCUGCCCUUGACUUUGGGAUAACUUCAGGAAACUGGGGCUAAUACCGGAUAGGAGCUCCUGCUGCAUGGUGGGGGUUGGAAAGUUUCGGCGGUUGGGGAUGGACUCGCGGCUUAUCAGCUUGUUGGUGGGGUAGUGGCUUACCAAGGCUUUGACGGGUAGCCGGCCUGAGAGGGUGACCGGCCACAUUGGGACUGAGAUACGGCCCAGACUCCUACGGGAGGCAGCAGUGGGGAAUAUUGCACAAUGGGCGGAAGACUGAUGCAGCAACGCCGCGUGCGGGAUGACGGCCUUCGGGUUGUAAACCGCUUUCGCCUGUGACGAAGCGUGAGUGACGGUAAUGGGUAAAGAAGCACCGGCUAACUACGUGCCAGCAGCCGCGGUGAUACGUAGGGUGCGAGCGUUGUCCGGAUUUAUUGGGCGUAAAGGGCUCGUAGGUGGUUGAUCGCGUCGGAAGUGUAAUCUUGGGGCUUAACCCUGAGCGUGCUUUCGAUACGGGUUGACUUGAGGAAGGUAGGGGAGAAUGGAAUUCCUGGUGGAGCGGUGGAAUGCGCAGAUAUCAGGAGGAACACCAGUGGCGAAGGCGGUUCUCUGGGCCUUUCCUGACGCUGAGGAGCGAAAGCGUGGGGAGCGAACAGGCUUAGAUACCCUGGUAGUCCACGCUGUAAACGGUGGGUACUAGGUGUGGGGUCCAUUCCACGGGUUCCGUGCCGUAGCUAACGCUUUAAGUACCCCGCCUGGGGAGUACGGCCGCAAGGCUAAAACUCAAAGGAAUUGACGGGGCCCCGCACAAGCGGCGGAGCAUGCGGAUUAAUUCGAUGCAACGCGUAGAGCCUUACCUGGGUUUGACAUGGAUCGGGAGCGCUCAGAGAUGGGUGUGCCUCUUUUGGGGUCGGUUCACAGGUGGUGCAUGGCUGUCGUCAGCUCGUGUCGUGAGAUGUUGGGUUAAGUCCCGCAACGAGCGCAACCCUUGUUCACUGUUGCCAGCACGUUAUGGUGGGGACUCAGUGGAGACCGCCGGGGUCAACUCGGAGGAAGGUGGGGAUGACGUCAAGUCAUCAUGCCCCUUAUGUCCAGGGCUUCACGCAUGCUACAAUGGCUGGUACAGAGAGUGGCGAGCCUGUGAGGGUGAGCGAAUCUCGGAAAGCCGGUCUCAGUUCGGAUUGGGGUCUGCAACUCGACCUCAUGAAGUCGGAGUCGCUAGUAAUCGCAGAUCAGCAACGCUGCGGUGAAUACGUUCCCGGG